This 117-nucleotide ribosomal RNA is filed under the name Periophthalmus magnuspinnatus. Lineage: Eukaryota; Metazoa; Chordata; Actinopteri; Gobiiformes; Gobiidae. The record is from RNAcentral.
AAUUCUGGCCAUACCACCUUGAGAAUACUGAUCUCAUCUGAACUCAGAAGAUAAGCAGGGCUGGGCCUGGUAAGUACUUUGAUGUGAGAGAUCUGUGAAUACCAGAAGCUGUAGUCU